GAACUCUGGUAUUGAUUGGUGCUUGCAUCAUGAUUUACAUUUGAGUGAGUGGCGAACUGGUGAGUAACACGUGGGAAACCUGCCCAGAAGCGGGGGAUAACACCUGGAAACAGAUGCUAAUACCGCAUAACAACUUGGACCGCAUGGUCCGAGCUUGAAAGAUGGCUUCGGCUAUCACUUUUGGAUGGUCCCGCGGCGUAUUAGCUAGAUGGUGGGGUAACGGCUCACCAUGGCAAUGAUACGUAGCCGACCUGAGAGGGUAAUCGGCCACAUUGGGACUGAGACACGGCCCAAACUCCUACGGGAGGCAGCAGUAGGGAAUCUUCCACAAUGGACGAAAGUCUGAUGGAGCAACGCCGCGUGAGUGAAGAAGGGUUUCGGCUCGUAAAACUCUGUUGUUAAAGAAGAACAUAUCUGAGAGUAACUGUUCAGGUAUUGACGGUAUUUAACCAGAAAGCCACGGCUAACUACGUGCCAGCAGCCGCGGUAAUACGUAGGUGGCAAGCGUUGUCCGGAUUUAUUGGGCGUAAAGCGAGCGCAGGCGGUUUUUUAAGUCUGAUGUGAAAGCCUUCGGCUCAACCGAAGAAGUGCAUCGGAAACUGGGAAACUUGAGUGCAGAAGAGGACAGUGGAACUCCAUGUGUAGCGGUGAAAUGCGUAGAUAUAUGGAAGAACACCAGUGGCGAAGGCGGCUGUCUGGUCUGUAACUGACGCUGAGGCUCGAAAGUAUGGGUAGCAAACAGGAUUAGAUACCCUGGUAGUCCAUACCGUAAACGAUGAAUGCUAAGUGUUGGAGGGUUUCCGCCCUUCAGUGCUGCAGCUAACGCAUUAAGCAUUCCGCCUGGGGAGUACGGCCGCAAGGCUGAAACUCAAAGGAAUUGACGGGGGCCCGCACAAGCGGUGGAGCAUGUGGUUUAAUUCGAAGCUACGCGAAGAACCUUACCAGGUCUUGACAUACUAUGCAAAUCUAAGAGAUUAGACGUUCCCUUCGGGGACAUGGAUACAGGUGGUGCAUGGUUGUCGUCAGCUCGUGUCGUGAGAUGUUGGGUUAAG
RNAcentral lists this ribosomal RNA (1052 nucleotides) under Lactiplantibacillus plantarum. RNAcentral describes it as "bacterial SSU rRNA". It matches the Rfam family "Bacterial small subunit ribosomal RNA", at positions 64 to 1084 of the family's 1533-position model. The record is from RNAcentral. Lineage: Bacteria; Bacillati; Bacillota; Bacilli; Lactobacillales; Lactobacillaceae.